Non-coding RNA from Armillaria borealis, 95 nucleotides. The record is from the annotation of a GenBank genome assembly. Lineage: Eukaryota; Fungi; Basidiomycota; Agaricomycetes; Agaricales; Physalacriaceae.
UCCCUCUUAGCUCAGUUGGUAGAGCGCGUCACUAGUGUAUGGAAUUGCUUUGAUGCGAUAUGACGAGGUCAGUCGUUCAAGUCGGCUAGCGGGAA